RNAcentral lists this non-coding RNA (190 nucleotides) under Jeotgalibaca dankookensis. RNAcentral describes it as "Trichococcus sp. EX-07 6S / SsrS RNA". It matches the Rfam family "6S / SsrS RNA". Rfam says of the family: E. coli 6S RNA was the first non coding RNA to be sequenced, but its function was unknown until recently. It consists of 184 nucleotides that fold into an extended hairpin structure with a large single-stranded internal bulge. Lineage: Bacteria; Bacillati; Bacillota; Bacilli; Lactobacillales; Carnobacteriaceae. The record is from Rfam by way of RNAcentral.
GAAGUUCUGAGGUGUACGAUAUAUUCUCAAUGUGUUGACCGAACAAAUAAUUUUACCUUGGGAUCCUUGAUAAAUGUUCAAAUAGCAUGCCACUUCAUAUGGACACUAGAUGACAUUUUGUGGAGCCCACCUGCUGAUAUUGCGGGUUCAAAACUAGUAGAAUAACAAAAACGGCACCAUCGGAAUUUUU